ACAGUAGAGUGUUUAUAUGUUUACAUACUCAUAUUACCUGUUUAAUAAUUGAAAGAUUAUUUGGCUAACUGAUUUUUCUUGCUACGUCCCCAUCUCCUUCUCUGGAUUGAGCUGUUGUUCAGCGGCUAUGUGAAUUAAAAAUCUACUCGGGGAGCUGCUGCUGUUCACUGAGGACAAAUGGUCAGAGCCAGAGAUACCAGGACCAUCUCUUCUGUCCCUCUCAAUACAGUUUUGUAAAGAAUUAAAUGUUGUCUGUUUUGCCUGAAUAAAUUGUUGAUUGAGUUGUUUUUCACCAAAUUCAAAAUAUAUUAACACAAUAAAUGAG
Long non-coding RNA from Amphiprion ocellaris (clown anemonefish), 325 nucleotides. RefSeq lists it as uncharacterized. NCBI's taxonomy places the organism in Eukaryota, Metazoa, Chordata, Actinopteri, Pomacentridae. The record is from RefSeq and is a predicted model, not a curated record. The transcript is spliced from 3 exons.